ACAGAUAAAAAGACUUAUAAAAGGAGGAGAAUCAUAUAGAUUAGAGGGGAGAGAGAGGAUUUCAUUAGAUUUGAUUAGUGUAGAAUAGGAGAAUACACUAGUUCUUAUGAGAUUUGGAGAUUGAAGCACUUGGAAGCCAUUGGAGAUCAAGAUCAAGAGCGAGACGGAGGACGAAUUUGCCGACAACAAAUUCAAUUCUUUUCCUUAAUCUUAUUCUUAUCUUUUAAUGUGUAUUCAAGUGUGGAUUCUUAGUUUUAAUUCAAUGAACUAAUUCUUUGUUUGAGAUUACAAUGGAUCUUAUUGUGUAGUGUAUUUUUAUAUGCUUCACUAUCAAUUAUUAUGUUCUAUUAUGAGGAUUGUCUAUUGUGAUUUGGACUUAAUUGUUUAAUUGAUUGGCCAUCAAUUACCGUAAUAAUCAUAUGAACUCGAGAGAUGAAGUUUAGAUUUAGAUCCGAUCAUAAUAACAUGUGUUUGUGAU
RNAcentral lists this long non-coding RNA (478 nucleotides) under Panax ginseng (ginseng). RNAcentral describes it as "long non-coding RNA (PGIN_LNC017936)". The record is from RNAcentral. Lineage: Eukaryota; Viridiplantae; Streptophyta; Magnoliopsida; Apiales; Araliaceae.